AAAAUUAUAAUUUCUCUAGUUGUCUUUACACAAAAUUUAAUUAAGAUAUCAGUGAUACUAAUUUAAUUUAAACAACUAUUUUAUUUAAUUUCUUCAUCAUAUCCACAUAUUUUCUCAUCUAAAAUAUCGUAUUUUUAAAUUUCAAAAUUGUAUUUAGACCUAGGUACAUUUAUCUGGAACCAAACAAGACCGAACCGAAAAAUGAAGUUCGGUUUAAGUUUGGAUCCUAUCAAUUAUACUAGUGAAUCAUAUCUGAACCGUUUUUUGGAUCAGUUCCAAUUCAGGUUUUCAGAUCCGAAUAAAAUACCCAAACCUAAACUUGUUUAUUUUGUUUCAAAUAUUUUUUUAUUGGAUAAAGUAUAGUAUUUCAACUAUGUUUUUUGGUAUCCUGAUACACAUAAUUUAUUUCAUAAUUUUAUGAUCAUUAGUUAGUGUACAUAUUUAUAAAAAAAUUAAAAUGUAAAAAACAGUAAAAUUCCACCUUGACCGCAUCAAAAGUGAUGCAUAACAAGAAGAUUGUGCGGGACUUCAUUUUGUUCUUUAAACAUAACCGCCACAGUAGAAACUUUAUUGAUAUAUUAUUCUUUUUUUGUUUUGAUUAUAUAAUUAGAUUCGGGAUAAAUUUUGUUUGAAUGGCAACACAAACUGUGUUAUAACGCACCGCAUACGGCGUCUUUGCUUCCCAGUCAUACGGCGUCUUUGCUACCAGAUGAUAAUCCUCGCGGAGUGAGUUUCUUUAUAAUAAUGUUGGUUCAUUAAAUGAUUUUAACAUUUUGAAACACUACAACUUUUAUCGAUUGUAAAAUGAUGAAAAUAAAUGUUGGUCUUUUAAAUGUAUCAUCGUUAUUGAAGAGUUAACGUAUUACAUUUCAUUUUAAUUAUUUUUAAGACUUCAUAUGCACAAAAGAAAAUUAAGUUUUGCAGCUAAGACAAAUAACAAAACUAGAUAGGCAACAUUGAUUGUAAAAUGACGAAAGAGAAUAAGGUUUUAUGCUCUUGAUUUGUUUGUUAUUGACUCUCCAUAAGUUAUUUCCUUUUCUACUUCUAUAAAAUUGUGUUUUCAUUCUCGUUUAUGUUUCACUGAUAUGAGUUUUGUUUAUUUUUUUUUAACUUCUUCUGUAAAUUCGGUGAAUUACAUAAGUGUCAAUAAAAAAAUGGACAUCUGUAACAAAUUAGUUCCACUGCAUAUACAUAUCUAAGAAUCAAAUUUUUGAAGAAGAUCACCGGCAAACUUUAUUCAUAUGUUUUUGAAUCUAAGUGCAAACUCGAAAUAUAAAUAUAUGUCUAGUAUAUAUUCACCAGCUCGGUCUAAAAUCAUCUAAUUCUAGAACAACAAAACAAAUUACUUAUUUUAUUACUCUUCGCGUUUGAGGUUUAGUUAUUUAAGAGUAUACCGAUAAAAAAUAUAUAAUACUUUACCAUUUUAUGGUAUGUAAACUAUGUAUAAAGUGCAGACUCGAAAUUGAGAGCAGAAAACCUCAAGAUUAUCUAUAUUCAGUGGCCAAAACUGCACGUUUCAUAGAAAUUUAUGUUUUUUGGUUGUUUUAUUUCUGUUUGGAUUCUAAAACCAUAUUUUUUUAACAAAUAAAAUGUUCUUUCAAUGGCAAAAAAAUGGCACAAGUUACUAAAUCCACAAAAAAUGGUCCCUCUCUUAGAUAAAAGCCUUUCUUUUUAUCUUUUUUUCCUUAGGCUACUACAAGUUUACUGACUUUCCUCGUAUAUUACUUUAUAUAUAUAUAUAUAUAUGCACACUCGAUAAGAAACUGUAUUACCAAUGUUUGAAAUAAUAUUUGCAACUCAAUGAAUAGAUUAUUGCCUAAAAAUAAAACCAUCUACAUCUAAAGCCUGGUUAAUUAUUAGUAACCAAACUUAUGUAAAUGUGAGUACCUUUUUGUUGUUUCAAAGAAGAAAAAAAACUGGGACCUUUUUGUCUGAAAAAAAAAAUCAAAUGUGAGUGACUUUUUGGAUAAAUUUAAGUAUUUUUAAUUUGCAUGUGCUAUCUAUGUUUCAUCCAUAACGAUAAUGUAAGUAGCUUUUUCAUGAGCUAUUUAUGUUUCAUCCAUUAAAUAAAGAAUAACAAAGAAAGAAAAUAAAUAGUUAUGUAAGAAGAAACAAAUAAAUAGAUAGUAUUUUUUGCGUUGCUCUCUCUCUCUCUCUCUCUCUCUCUCUCUCUCUCUCUCUCUCUCUCUCUCUCUCUCUCUCUCUCUCUCUCUCUCUCUCUCUCUCUCUCUCUCCGUUUGAGGCAAAGACUGAAACACUGCUCGAUACUAUUAUUUACUGUCAGACGAGCACACGAAGUCCACAAAAUGUCAAAAGUAUAUAUCCAUGUUCGGAACUACGCUGGACGCUAAUCGGGCGGCAGCUCCGAGCCUAGCGAAUUACCGAAAAAUCGGGGUAUACGCGGGGACUAGUUUAUUAAUAAUUUUAUUUUAUUUGUAUUUAAAAUCCAAUAUAUAAUAUACAACAUAUUAUAAUGUGAUAAUUUGGGUAUAUACUAAUACUGAAAACUAUAUAUAUUAAGCUCUAACAAAAUUUCAUUGUUAAAAUAAAUGUAUAUCAUCCGGUUACAAAUAGUCAGACAAACAAACUAAAUUAAUUUCACAUACAUUGUACAAAUAUAAUAUAUUUGUAUAAUAUCAUCAAAGUCACACUUUCUAGAUUUCUAUUGGUAAAAACUUAACCAAUAAGAUAUGUCAAAAUGUAAAAUAUUGGAACACAGGUAUUUAGUGUGAUGUAUUCUAAUCCUGUCAAAUGAGAAAAUAUAAAGCAAAGAAAAACGGAAAAACUUGAAAACCUAAAGUCCCACAUCGACUACUAUAAACAAAAACACUUCUCGAGACAUCUAUAAAUAAACUCACGCUCCCUUGGUUAAUCUACAAGCUGGGCUAAUAACGUCCACUAACUUCCAAAAGAAUGAUCGGUUAAAAAUUGGUAUAGUACCGAUUAAUCAGAUUACGCGGCCGAGUUAGUGGGGUCCGAUUAAAUAAGCUGACUUGAGCUUAUUGGCCACAGAACCUUAACGCCGAGCGCCUAGGCGACCGAUUAUUCGGCUAGGCGUCCGCGUUUUUGAACAGAGCCGUCAGAUCUGAUAUUGCCAACUGCUGCAAAGAUGUUAUACUGAACAAAAGAAAGUGUUCUGCUUCCGUAACAAUGGGUUGUCCUCAAGACCCAGGAGAACAACGUCGGAGGCAAGAAGGUGUUACCAAGCUGAAAUCUCAUUAUUUGAACAGAAAAAAAGAGAAAUCUACUUCUGCUUCCUUUUAUUAUUUUUUCUUGUUUCCAAAAAUAUAACGUCUAAUUGCAAAAAGUUAUAACGAUAAGAAAGUGUUUUUCUUUC
Molecule: long non-coding RNA, 3337 nt
Organism: Brassica napus (rape)
Lineage: Eukaryota; Viridiplantae; Streptophyta; Magnoliopsida; Brassicales; Brassicaceae
Exons: 2
Source: RefSeq, a predicted model, not a curated record